UACGUAGGGAGCAAGCGUUGUCCGGAAUCAUUGGGCGUAAAGCGCGCGUAGGUGGCCCGGUAAGUCCGCUCUGAAAGUCACAGGCUCAACCUGUGAAAGCGGGUGGAUACUGCCGGGCUAGAGUCCGGAAGAGGCGAGUGGAAUUCCUGGUGUAGCGGUGGAAUGCGCAGAUAUCAGGAGGAACACCCGUGGCGAAAGCGGCUCUCUGGGACGGUACUGACGCUGAGACGCGAAAGCGUGGGGAGCAAACAGG
This 253-nucleotide ribosomal RNA is filed under the name uncultured bacterium. Its description in RNAcentral is "partial 16S ribosomal RNA". It matches the Rfam family "Bacterial small subunit ribosomal RNA", at positions 524 to 776 of the family's 1533-position model. The record is from RNAcentral.